RNAcentral lists this ribosomal RNA (816 nucleotides) under Triticum aestivum (bread wheat). RNAcentral's name for it is "partial small subunit ribosomal RNA". Lineage: Eukaryota; Viridiplantae; Streptophyta; Magnoliopsida; Poales; Poaceae. The record is from RNAcentral.
AUGGCCGCCGGCGACGGCAGCACCCAAGGGACCUCGUCGGUGGCAGGGCAGUGGUCCGAGCUCCCCCAUGAUCUCCUCGCCAUGGUCUAUAUCAGGUUCGCCUUCCCCGCCGACCGCGUCCACUUCGCCGCCGUGUGCGCUUCGUGGCGGGCCGUCGCUUCGACGCACCCACCACCAUCACCACCCUAUACCCCGUGGCUCAUACUCGAUCCACGUGACGGCGACGAAACUAGACACUUGUAUUGCCCCCAUGACGGCACGGUCCUGCCCCGCGUCCUUCUCCCGAGCAAGGCUGCCGCUAGGUGCUUCAUCGGUGGUUACGACGGCGGAUGGGUCGCCUUGUCGGAUGCGCCGCUCGGGAUCGUGAACCUCUUCUCGGGCGCUCAGGUGCCGCUCUCCGCGGAGCAAAGGAGGAUCGUCAGUGAACGCGGAGAUCUGCGGAAGGUCAUUUUUUCUAAGGCACCCACCUCGAGUGGUUGUAUCCUCGCCGCCAUCACCGAUAAGCCUGGUGUCACGAUAUGCAAGGUUGGAUGCCGGGAGAAAGGUUGGAUAAUACAAGAGCUUCGUGGGCACGACAGGCUCGUGGAUAUCACCUUCUACAAUGGCGAGCAUUACGGGGUCACACGGCAUGGUGACAGGCUCGUCAAGUUUGAGAUUACCAUGGAUAGCGAGUGGGCACCGAUGCGCAUAGAUGUCCACCCGCUAAAUAUGCAGAAUCGCUUUUCACAUCCAUACUCUGAUGAGUAUCCCAAGUACUCCCUCCGUCCGGAAAUAUUUGUCAUCAAAAUGGAUGAAAAUGGAUGUAAUUACAACUAA